UAUGAGUGGUCUGGCUACAACAUCUGUCAUCCCAUGAUUGCCAGGGUUGGUUGGACUGACCUUCCUACCUCACCACUCCAUGUGCGUCCCUCCUGAAGCUGUGUGCUCGAUCCAAGAGGACAACCUUCCCAGACUGAGGAGAACUGUUCCCUGGUCAAGGUUAUACAAGUGGCUGUGCUUCCCUGGUAGAACCUCCAAACAAGCUCUUGUGAUCCAUUUGUAGGACAUUGGAUGGUCAAACUUCCAAAACUCCAGAUUAUAUCCAAAUAAGGUGUUACAUGUGGCACUCUGCCUUUCUUU
This 300-nucleotide small nuclear RNA is filed under the name Cervus elaphus hippelaphus. It matches the Rfam family "7SK RNA". From Rfam's summary of the family: 7SK was discovered as an abundant small nuclear RNA in the mid-70s but a possible function has only recently been suggested. Two independent studies have found that 7SK RNA binds the CDK9/cyclin T complex (known as elongation factor P-TEFb). Lineage: Eukaryota; Metazoa; Chordata; Mammalia; Artiodactyla; Cervidae. The record is from RNAcentral.